RNAcentral lists this long non-coding RNA (851 nucleotides) under Junco hyemalis (dark-eyed junco). RNAcentral's name for it is "lncRNA (ENSJHYG00000004271.1)". The record is from RNAcentral. Lineage: Eukaryota; Metazoa; Chordata; Aves; Passeriformes; Passerellidae.
CGGCCCCGCCGCCCGCGAGCAGAGGAUCCAGCUGUGCGCUCUGCCCCGCCAGAUGUGCGCGCUGCGGGGCAGGGCCCUUCUCAGAUCAGUAAUCGACGAAGUGCCUUCGCAGACUUUUGCCAGCAGAUGUUAAUCAAUCAUUAUUUUUUUAUACUGAAACUGAGACUUUGACUGUGCCAUGUCUAAAGUGACCCAAAAACCUGGCUGCUUUGGAAAGUGGAUAGUAUUGGCAAGCAAAGAAAUAUGAGUGGUGUUUUGCACCUCGAGACUUCCCUCUGCCCCGCCUGGAGUGCCCUCAGCUUGCUGGCAGCCUGGCCAGGUUGGCCGUGGUGGUGUCACAGGCCUUUGCCAACCAGAGCCAACCAGAUCUGUGCAAGCCUUCAGAGCACAAAGCCCUGAUAAGAAGGAUCCCUAACAGGGUGAACCACAAAGCUGAGAGAGCUGCUGCUUUGCUCAGAGUCUGGAGACUUGGGGAAAGAAGUUUUUCUGAUGUCAGUGUUGAAGAAGAUGCCUGGAUGUCCUCAGGGGAGCAGAGGUUCACACAGGAACCCACAGGCUGAAGGCAGCAGGGGAGCGAUGAGCUUUGCAAAUCUCCUCCUCGCAGGAUGAAUUUCAUCUAAAUUUCAUAUAAAAUGAACCCGAGCUCCUGGAACUGCUGCUCAAAAGGAACAACAAACCCACCCUGCCUCUGGAAAGCUGAAUUUUCCAUGCCACUUCAUACUUGGGAAAGGAACAGUGGAUUUUAGGAUGGGAGUUACAAAGCGAGUGGAUGCUAGAGAUGGACAACCAAAGAAAUGCUGAGACCCAAAGGCUGCAGUGCCUGGUGUAAAUAAAUCCUAAAUACAUCCUCA